RNAcentral lists this ribosomal RNA (503 nucleotides) under uncultured bacterium. Its description in RNAcentral is "bacterial SSU rRNA". It matches the Rfam family "Bacterial small subunit ribosomal RNA", at positions 29 to 505 of the family's 1533-position model. The record is from RNAcentral.
AACAAACGCUGGCGGCGUGCCUAACACAUGCAAGUCGAACGAGAAAGUCGGUUUCGGCCGAUGAGUAAAGUGGCGCACGGGUGAGUAACGCGUGGAUAAUCUACCCUUUAGUCCGGAAUAACUUGCCGAAAGGUGAACUAAUACCGGAUGACAUCCCGGGUUCUCCGGAAACCGGGAUCAAAGAAGGCCUCUGCUUGCAAGCUUUUGCUGAAGGAUGAGUCCGCGUACCAUUAGCUAGUUGGUGGGGUAAUGGCCUACCAAGGUUAUGAUGGUUAGCUGGUCUGAGAGGAUGAUCAGCCACACUGGAACUGAAACACGGUCCAGACUCCUACGGGAGGCAGCAGUGAGGAAUAUUGCGCAAUGGGGGCAACCCUGACGCAGCAACGCCGCGCGAGUGAGGAAGGUUUUCGGAUUGUAAAGCUCUGUCGAGCGGAAAGAAAUGCACGAUGGCUAAUAUCCAUCAUGCUUGACGGUACCGCUAGAGGAAGCACCGGCUAACUCCG